CUGGAAAGGAGUAUGGGGCAUUGUUUUAUUGAAUUAUCAUUGCUAAAUAACAAUUCCAUGGGUCCUAGUGUGUCUAGGAAUCAUUUCCUUUAAUUCCAAAGUUGAAUGAGUGUUUUGGACAGCAGAGAAAGGCCCUUAGCUAGAGUAUUUCGAAAUUUCUAAGUGUGCUAAGUGUGGAGGUUGUCUUGACCUGUGAAAGAAGAGAGGGAUUCCAAGAAACUAGAGUUCUACCAAGGUUGUGGAAGAGAUCAAGUUAAAGUGUUCAAGGCAAAAGGUUCCUCGUUACUCACCCUGAAAUGUUGUGGUUGUGGUUUCCACCUACGAUGAUCGUACUUGUACGGGAGUAGAUGGCGUUGCAGAUGAGGCAGAGAUGAAGUAGCACGACGAGAGUUAUGGGAAUGACUAUGGGGGACUUAUCAUGUUUUAAGUAAUUUUAUGUUUUUGAAUAUUGAAUUUGAUAUUUGUAAGGUUUUAACUUUAUGUUGUAAGACGCUUAAACUUUAUGUUGUAAGACGCUUAAACUUUUGAUGGUUUAUUUCCGCGAUGUUAAUUGAAAAAAAAAAAUU
This 566-nucleotide small RNA is filed under the name Vigna angularis var. angularis. RNAcentral describes it as "Non-protein coding transcript". Lineage: Eukaryota; Viridiplantae; Streptophyta; Magnoliopsida; Fabales; Fabaceae. The record is from RNAcentral.